This 54-nucleotide transfer RNA is filed under the name Enterobacterales bacterium CwR94. It matches the Rfam family "tRNA", at positions 1 to 52 of the family's 71-position model. From Rfam's summary of the family: Transfer RNA (tRNA) molecules are approximately 80 nucleotides in length. Their secondary structure includes four short double-helical elements and three loops (D, anti-codon, and T loops). The record is from Rfam by way of RNAcentral. Lineage: Bacteria; Pseudomonadati; Pseudomonadota; Gammaproteobacteria; Enterobacterales.
GGGUCGUUAGCUCAGUUGGUAGAGCAGUUGACUUUUAAUCAAUUGGUCGCAGGU